GAUGAAGAACGUAGCGAAAUGCGAUAAGUAAUGUGAAUUGCAGAAUUCAGUGAAUCAUCGAAUCUUUGAACGCACAUUGCGCCCGCUAGUAUUCUGGCGGGCAUGCCUGUCCGAGCGUCAUUUCAACCCUCAAGCCCCCGGGCUUGGUGUUGGGGAUCGGCGAGCCUCCGCGCCCGCCGUCCCCUAAAUCUAGUGGCGGUCUCGCUGUAGCUUCCUCUGCGUAGUAGUACACCUCGCACUGGGAAACAGCGCGGCCACGCCGUUAAACCCCCAACUUCUGAACGUUUGACCUCGGAUCAGGUAGGAAUACCCGCUGAACUUAAGCAUAUCAAUAAGCGGAGGA
RNAcentral lists this unclassified non-coding RNA (343 nucleotides) under soil metagenome. RNAcentral describes it as "partial contains 5.8S ribosomal RNA, internal transcribed spacer 2, and large subunit ribosomal RNA". The stretch from base 1 to 120 matches the Rfam family "5.8S ribosomal RNA", at positions 35 to 154 of the family's 154-position model. The record is from RNAcentral.